GGGAUUGUGGCUUAGUGGUAGAGUGCUUGCCUCGCAUACAUGAAGCCCUGGGUUCGAUUCCUCAAUACCA
Molecule: transfer RNA, 70 nt
Filed under: Dipodomys ordii (Ord's kangaroo rat)
Lineage: Eukaryota; Metazoa; Chordata; Mammalia; Rodentia; Heteromyidae
Rfam family: tRNA
About the family: Transfer RNA (tRNA) molecules are approximately 80 nucleotides in length. Their secondary structure includes four short double-helical elements and three loops (D, anti-codon, and T loops).
Source: Rfam by way of RNAcentral